GCACUGCUGAAGAGUCCCACAAUGAAAACGAAACGGCCGUCCAGUGC
RNAcentral lists this non-coding RNA (47 nucleotides) under Schistosoma mansoni. The record is from RNAcentral. Lineage: Eukaryota; Metazoa; Platyhelminthes; Trematoda; Strigeidida; Schistosomatidae.